AGUUAAUAUUCUGCUACUUGUGUAAGUUUCGAUGGGGUGACGGAGAAGUGAAAGCACCGCGAACUGACGGAUUAGUUCGUUGAAGUACCUAGGUAUAUCUUAAGCAGGCAAAUCCGCUUUUGAUGCUGAAAUACGACAGUACCUUGAACCUUCGGGGGAUAGGAUGGUGCCUAAUCAGGCUCCCAAGAAAAACCUCUAAGGCUAGGCUUAUACAAUCCGUACCGUAAAUCGACACAGAUGGGUGAGGAGAAUAUCCUAAGGCGCUCGGAUGAGCCGCGGCUAAGGAACUCGGCAAAAUAGUUCCGUAACUUCGGGAGAAGGAACGCCCCCAGCAAUGGGGGCCGCAGUGAAAAGGCUCAGGCAACUGUUUAACAAAAACACAGGACUCUGCUAAAUCGAAAGAUGACGUAUAGGGUCUGACACCUGCCCGGUGCUGGAAGGUUAAGAAAGGAGGUCAGCCGCAAGGCGAAGCUUCCGAUUGAAGCCCCAGUAAACGGCGGCCGUAACAAUAACGGUCCUAAGGUAGCGAAAUUCCUUGUCGGGUAAGUUCCGACCUGCACGAAUGGUGUAAUGAUCUGAGCACUGUCUCAGCCGCGAGUCCGGUGAAAUUGAAGUAUCGGUGAAGAUGCCGAUUACCCGCAACGGGACGGAAAGACCCCAUGCACCUUCACUAUAACUUAGCAUUGAAUUUGAUUAAAUGAUGUGUAGGAUAGGUGGGAGACUUUGAAGCGGGAGCGCCAGCUUUCGUGGAGUCAACCUUGAAAUACCACCCUUUAUUUGAUUAGAUUCUAACUUUAGCCAUAAGGACAUUGCUUGGUGGGUAGUUUGACUGGGGUGGUCGCCUCCUAAAUUGUAACGGAGGCUUUCAAAGGUACCCUCAGUACGCUUAGUAACCGUACGCAGAGUGCAUUGGCACAAGGGUGCUUGACUGUAAGACAAACAAGUCGAGCAGGUGCGAAAGCAGGACAAAGUGAUCCGGUGGUUCCGUAUGGAAGGGCCAUCGUUCAUAGGAUAAAAGGUACGCUGGAUAACAGGCUGGUCUCCCCCAAGAGCUCACAUCGACGGGGAGGUUUGGCACCUCGAUGUCGGCUCGUCACAUCCUGGGGCUGGAGAAGGUCCCAAGGGUUGAGCUGUUCGCUCAUUAAAGUGGCACGCGAGCUGGGUUCAGAACGUCGCAAGACAGUUCGGUCCCUAUCUGUUGCGGGCGUUAGAAAUUUGAGAGGAGCUGACUCUAGUACGAGAGGACCGUGUCGGACGAACCUCUGGUGUACCAAUUGUGGCGCCAGCUGCAUUGUUGGGUAGCUAUGUUCGGAAAGGAUAAGCGCUGAAAGCAUCUAAGUGCGAAGCCUACCUCAAGAUGAGAUUUCUUUUAAGGGCCGUAGAAGAUUACUACGUUGAUAGGUCAUAGGUGUAAAGGUGGUAACAUCAAAGCCGAGUGAUACUAAUUGCCCGUUUACUUUAUUAG
Molecule: ribosomal RNA, 1465 nt
Filed under: metagenome
Description: bacterial LSU rRNA
Rfam family: Bacterial large subunit ribosomal RNA
Source: RNAcentral